Hevea brasiliensis (rubber tree) is the source of this 1277-nucleotide RNA transcript. It is a transcript of the gene named bifunctional dihydrofolate reductase-thymidylate synthase 2-like, with no coding region annotated. The transcript is spliced from 4 exons. The record is from RefSeq and is a predicted model, not a curated record. Lineage: Eukaryota; Viridiplantae; Streptophyta; Magnoliopsida; Malpighiales; Euphorbiaceae.
UAAAAGAUUUUCUUACUCAGUUUUACUUCCCUCUCGGUCCUCUUCUCUGGUAUCUAUGCACCUUUCCUUCCCCUCAACAAAAGCUUAUUCCCAAUUCCAUUGUAGGAAAAUCGCCUGAUGCUCUUCUCACUCUUGGCGGUUGGAAACCCUGGCCACUCUCCCUUUCCUCUGUAGGCGCAGGCGCAAUUCUAAUUGAGUUCAAUGGAGUGAUGUAUGUUUGCUCGUUUUACUGAGUUCUUGUAGAAGUAGCUUCCGUAAUCCCUGUGGUGUGUCUGCUGCCUCCAAACUACGUAGGGCAUCUUACAUAACUUAAAAGUACAGAUCUUACAAAAGAUUUUCUGUUAUGUAUGGUGAUGUUCCGAGGAGCAUUGCUAGUGGCAAUGCCAAUAUGCAACCUGAUCCUGGAGUUACGAAGUUGUGGUUGCAGCUACUUGUGAUAUGGGCAUUGGGAAGGAUGAGAAGUUACCAUGGAGAUUGCCAUCUGAUGUUCUUACCUUAAUUUUUUCGAGGAGCUUACUUUUACCACAUCAAAUCCAGGGAAAAAAAAUGCAGUAGUGAUGGGUAGGAAAACAUGGCAGAGCAUUCCCCUGAGGUACAGACCUCUACAGGGAUGCUUGAAUGUUGUGCUGACUUGUUCUGGAAGUUUUGAUAUCACAGUUGCAAAAAAUGUUGUAAUGCGUGGAAAGCAUUCCACAAGCUUUGGAAUUAUUGGCUGAAGUACCUUUGCUGUUUCUCAGUUGAGAGGGUGUUUGUUUUAGGAGGUGGUCAGAUACUGAGCUAAUGUGCUUCUUAAUGAAUAAAUUGCAUGCUAGUAUAGCAUCUGUCCAUAUGGCAAAUAUUGAUAUCUUUUUAAUACAGGGAAACAAUUAAUGCUCUACGAUGUGAUGCCAUCUACAUUUCUGAAAUUGAGGUGAGCAUUGAAUGUGGUACCUUCAUUCCAGCUAUUGAUUCUUCUUCAUUUCAACCUUGGUUCUUCAGGAGACUACGUUGAGGGAACCACUUGACUCGAAAAAUCACAUUACUUACACCUUUUGUCUGUACAAACAUAACUGCUGUAUCUGUUUUCCUAGUAUUGGCCUGAAAGAUAGAGAAGAGGAUACUGAGGACCCAUAUAUGGCUUCCAUUGGAGACCCUCUGAUGCCAGGCCAAGGAUUUGAUCAACAGAUGUUAGUGACAAGAACAGGAAUAGAACAGAUGACAGGUGUAUUAUCCUCACAGUAUGGAAUCCAUCAGAUCUCAAAUUACUGGCACUUCCACCUUUUCAUAUGUUUGCACAG